AUUGAGAGCUUGUAUGAAGGGUUGGACGAGAUAAAAUCUGUCUUUAUUUAAAUUACAAUAAAAUUUAACUUUUAAGUCAAAAGGCUUAAAUGUGUAUAAAAGACGAGAAGACCCUAUAGAUCUUUAUUUAGUUAAUAUUUUAAUAAUUUAGGAUUAUUUUAAUUUAAAGUUUUAAUUAAAUUUUAUUGGGGUAAUAUAAAGAUUAAAUAAAUUCUUUUUAUUUAUUACAUUAAUUUAUGAACUUGUGAUCCAAUAUUAUUGAUUAUAAGAUUAAGUUACCUUAGGGAUAACAGCGUAAUUUUUUUGGAGAGCUCAUAUCGAUAAAAAAGUUUGCGACCUC
RNAcentral lists this ribosomal RNA (340 nucleotides) under Cicindela campestris. Its description in RNAcentral is "partial 16S ribosomal RNA". The record is from RNAcentral. Lineage: Eukaryota; Metazoa; Arthropoda; Insecta; Coleoptera; Carabidae.